AGAGUUUGAUCCUGGCUCAGAACGAACGCUGGCGGCAGGCCUAACACAUGCAAGUCGAGCGCACCCUUCGGGGCGAGCGGCGGACGGGUAGUAACGCGUGGGAAUAUACCCUUCACUACGGAAUAGCCUCGGGAAACUGAGAGUAAUACCGUAUACGCCCUUCGGGGGAAAGAUUUAUCGGUGAUGGAUUAGCCCGCGUCUGAUUAGAUAGUUGGUGGGGUAAUGGCCUACCAAGUCUACGAUCAGUAGCUGGUUUUAGAGGAUGAUCAGCAACACUGGGACUGAGACACGGCCCAGACUCCUACGGGAGGCAGCAGUGGGGAAUCUUAGACAAUGGGCGAAAGCCUGAUCUAGCCAUGCCGCGUGUGUGAUGAAGGCCUUAGGGUCGUAAAGCACUUUCGCCAGGGAUGAUAAUGACAGCACCUGGUAAAGAAACCCCGGCUAACUCCGUGCCAGCAGCCGCGGUAAUACGGAGGGGGUUAGCGUUGUUCGGAAUUACUGGGCGUAAAGCGCACGUAGGCGGAUCAGAAAGUUGGGGGUGAAAUCCCAGGGCUCAACCCUGGAACUGCCCUCAAAACUCCUGGUCUUGAGUUCGAGAGAGGUGAGUGGAAUUCCAAGUGUAGAGGUGAAAUUCGUAGAUAUUUGGAGGAACACCAGUGGCGAAGGCGGCUCACUGGCUCGAUACUGACGCUGAGGUGCGAAAGUGUGGGGAGCAAACAGGAUUAGAUACCCUGGUAGUCCACACCGUAAACGAUGAAUGCCAGGCGUCGGGCAGUAUACUGUUCGGUGUCACACCUAACGGAUUAAGCAUUCCGCCUGGGGAGUACGGUCGCAAGAUUAAAACUCAAAGGAAUCGACGGGGGCCCGCACAAGCGGUGGAGCAUGUGGUUUAAUUCGAAGCAACGCGCAGAACUUUACCAACCCUUGACAUCCUAGGACAACUCCAGAGAUGGAGCCUUCCUUCGGGACCUAGUGACAGGUGCUGCAUGGCUGUCGUCAGCUCGUGUCAUGAGAUGUUCGGUUAAGUCCGGCAACGAGCGCAACCCACAUCUUUAGUUGCCAGCAGGUUAAGCUGGGCACUCUAAAGAAACUGCCCGUGAUAAGCGGGAGGAAGGUGUGGAUGACGUCAAGUCCUCAUGGCCCUUACGGGUUGGGCUACACACGUGCUACAAUGGUGGUGACAAUGGGUUAAUCCCAAAAAACCAUCUCAGUUCGGAUUGGGGUCUGCAACUCGACCCCAUGAAGUCGGAAUCGCUAGUAAUCGCGUAACAGCAUGACGCGGUGAAUACGUUCCCGGGCCUUGUACACACCGCCCGUCACACCAUGGGAGUUGGGUUUACCCGAAGGCCGUGCGCCAACCUUUCGAGGGGGCAGCGGACCACGGUGAGCUCAGCGACUGGGGUGAAGUCGUAACAAGGUA
Molecule: ribosomal RNA, 1420 nt
Filed under: metagenome
Description: bacterial SSU rRNA
Rfam family: Bacterial small subunit ribosomal RNA
Source: RNAcentral